RNAcentral lists this ribosomal RNA (253 nucleotides) under uncultured bacterium. RNAcentral describes it as "partial 16S ribosomal RNA". It matches the Rfam family "Bacterial small subunit ribosomal RNA", at positions 524 to 776 of the family's 1533-position model. The record is from RNAcentral.
UACGUAGGGUGCGAGCGUUAAUCGGAAUUAUUGGGCGUAAAGAGCUCGUAGGCGGUUUGUCGCGUCUGCCGUGAAAGUCCGGGGCUCAACUCCGGAUCUGCGGUGGGUACGGGUAGACUAGAGUGAUGUAGGGGAGACUGGAAUUCCUGGUGUAGCGGUGAAAUGCGCAGAUAUCAGGAGGAACACCGAUGGCGAAGGCAGGUCUCUGGGCAUUAACUGACGCUGAGGAGCGAAAGCAUGGGGAGCGAACAGG